UGGCCUACGGGGGGCAGCAGUGGGGGAUAUUGCACAAUGGGGGAAACCCUGAUGCAGCGACGCCGCGUGCGUGCCGCCGUCAUUCGUUCCGUCCCGCUCUCUCCGCCGGGCCGCCAAUGCCGGUACCUGACUAAGAAGCCCCGGCUAACUACGUGCCAGCAGCCGCGGUAAUACGUAGGGGGCAAGCGUUAUCCGGAAUUACUGGGUGUAAAGGGAGCGCAGACGGCAGUGCAAGUCUGGAGUGAAAGCCCGUGGCUUAACCACGGGACUGCUCUGGAAACUGUGCAGCUAGA
Molecule: ribosomal RNA, 293 nt
Filed under: uncultured bacterium
Lineage: Bacteria
Description: partial 16S ribosomal RNA
Rfam family: Bacterial small subunit ribosomal RNA
Source: RNAcentral